ACAGUCUGUGGCUCAGUGGUAGGACAUUUGCCUCUCAUGCAGAAGGUCCCAGGCUCAAUCCCUGGCAUCUGCA
Podarcis lilfordi (Lilford's wall lizard) is the source of this 73-nucleotide non-coding RNA. Lineage: Eukaryota; Metazoa; Chordata; Lepidosauria; Squamata; Lacertidae. The record is from the annotation of a GenBank genome assembly.